GACGAACGCUGGCGGCGUGCUUAACACAUGCAAGUCGAACGGAAAGGCCCUGCUUUUGUGGGGUGCUCGAGUGGCGAACGGGUGAGUAACACGUGAGUAACCUGCCCUUGACUUUGGGAUAACUUCAGGAAACUGGGGCUAAUACCGGAUAGGAGCUCCUGCUGCAUGGUGGGGGUUGGAAAGUUUCGGCGGUUGGGGAUGGACUCGCGGCUUAUCAGCUUGUUGAUGGGGUAGUGGCUUACCAAGGCUUUGACGGGUAGCCGGCCUGAGAGGGUGACCGGCCACAUUGGGCCUGAGAUACGGCCCAGACUCCUACGGGAGGCAGCAGUGGGGAAUAUUGCACAAUGGGCGGAAGCCUGAUGCAGCAACGCCGCGUGCGGGAUGACGGCCUUCGGGUUGUAAACCGCUUUCGCCUGUGACGAAGCGUGAGUGACGGUAAUGGGUAAAGAAGCACCGGCUAACUACGUG
This 468-nucleotide ribosomal RNA is filed under the name uncultured bacterium. RNAcentral describes it as "partial 16S ribosomal RNA". It matches the Rfam family "Bacterial small subunit ribosomal RNA", at positions 28 to 507 of the family's 1533-position model. The record is from RNAcentral.